RNAcentral lists this ribosomal RNA (294 nucleotides) under uncultured actinomycete. RNAcentral's name for it is "partial 16S ribosomal RNA". It matches the Rfam family "Bacterial small subunit ribosomal RNA", at positions 220 to 526 of the family's 1533-position model. Lineage: Bacteria; Bacillati; Actinomycetota; Actinomycetes; Actinomycetales. The record is from RNAcentral.
AUUGGAUGAGCCCGCGGCCUAUCAGCUUGUUGGUGAGGUAAUGGCUCACCAAGGCGUCGACGGGUAGCCGGCCUGAGAGGGUGACCGGCCACACUGGGACUGAGACACGGCCCAGACUCCUACGGGAGGCAGCAGUGGGGAAUAUUGCACAAUGGGCGCAAGCCUGAUGCAGCAACGCCGCGUGAGGGACGACGGCCUUCGGGUUGUAAACCUCCUUUAGCAGGGAAGAAGCGAAAGUGACGGUACCUGCAGAAAAAGCGCCGGCUAACUACGUGCCAGCAGCCGCGGCCGAAU